AGGGUGCACACAACACAAAACGUCACACAUUGUAGUAAAACUAUUAUUUUAACAAAUUAAAAUAUUAUAUCGCUCUCUUCUUCUCUAGUGUGUCCUUUCUUUCGAUCCAUCUUCUUUGUUCUCUCACUGGAUCGUCUUCUCUCUCUCCCUUUAUAUCAUUUUUUUGGUCUAAGAGUUUCGUCGGUCGUAUGCACACCAAGUGUUCGAUGAAAUCACUGUGAUGGUGUUGUGAUUGGAUAUUGAAAGGGAUCUAUCUUAAACAACGAUUUGUGUUCUUCCUCGCUCUUGUUAUCUGUCGCUCUCACACAAUCGCGAUUUGCAAGUUUUUGCAUUGAGAGAUGGGCGAUAGUGAAGGCUUGUCUUAGUUGCAGGUGCCAUCUAUUAUUCAUACCGAUACUUGUUUUUUCCUCAUUAGACCCUUUUCAUGAUGUAAAGAGCAAAUAAACCCCUUUAUGAUUCACUCCUUUCAGAACCUCCUGAUUUAAGUAUUUGGUUUUCAAGCUAUGUUUAUGAAUCGCGGAUGCUGGAUACAAGUGAUGGUUUUUGUGAAGAAAGGGUCUAAAAAGAAGGUUUUUUUUUUUAUUAUAAAACAUCCAUCUCUUGUCAUAUCCCUCGUAUAUCAUAAUGCAUGACUUCUUUCUAUUGUGUUUACUCUUGUAGUGAUGUUACAUAACAUAUAUACUCUUGUAGUGAUGUUACGUAACAUACAUAAAUCCCAAGGUUUGCUUUUUUUCUUUUUUCUUUUCGUGAUACUUUAGUUUUGUAAACCUGAAUUGAAGUUCUGCAUAUGUAAUGAUGAUAUGGUUAUCUAUUGAUUGUGAAAUCUGGUUGGCUAUUGCAAGUUAUACUAGUUUGGUUUAUAUCCUCAGAUUUGGUUUAAUAAGUGUUUCAUGUUCGAGCACAAUAUCACAAUCCCAAGGAAGCGAUCAAGUGGUUGAAGCAAUCCGCUGAGAAUGGUUACGUUCGAGCACAAUGUCACUAUAUCAGUUAGCUCUUUGUUUACACCAAAGCUGGGUUGUGCAAACCAAUAUGCUAAUAUCAUCUGAGAUUGAAGUAUUGGUAUAAGAUAGUUGUGUUGUUGAUUGUAUUCAUAUGAUCCAGAGAGAUUUUUUGAAGAACAAGGUCUAAGAUUCAUGCUGGGUUUGUUCUUAAUAACUCUCCAUGGCGAGCCCAACUCAAGGCAACAACAGGGAGAACCGAGCUGCCAAUCCUGAAGUUGUGACUGAAUCUCCGCAAAUGGCUGAACUUCCGCAAUGUGUCUGAUGAGUCUCAUGAGCAAGAAGAUGAUGACGAUGACGACGAGCUUGUAGGUAGUGCACUCUUCUGAUGAACUUGUUGUCUCAGCUUUCUAUCAUCCCUCUUGUCUAAGGUACUUGGCUUCUACGGCUUUCGUUUAAAGCUCUUGUCUUUUGUCUGCUAGUGUAGAACUCUAUCUAUUUUGAAUGUUUAAAGCUAAGGUUUAACAUUAAUCGGAACUUUUGUACUUUCAUUUUGCAAUUUGAUUUUCGAGGUCUUUUUUGAGAUAAUUUGUUUUGGCCCUACAUAUAAAUUUUGUAAUGGAUACGAAAAGGUGUAGCAA
Molecule: non-coding RNA, 1579 nt
Organism: Camelina sativa (false flax)
Lineage: Eukaryota; Viridiplantae; Streptophyta; Magnoliopsida; Brassicales; Brassicaceae
Source: RefSeq, a predicted model, not a curated record